CUCUCACUGAUUACUUGAUGACA
Molecule: non-coding RNA, 23 nt
Filed under: Cricetulus griseus (Chinese hamster)
Lineage: Eukaryota; Metazoa; Chordata; Mammalia; Rodentia; Cricetidae
Source: RNAcentral